UACGUAGGUGGCAAGCGUUGUCCGGAAUUACUGGGUGGAAAGGGCGUGUAGGCGGGACUGCAAGUCAGAUGAGAAAUUCCCAGGCUCAACCUGGGGGCUGCAUCUGAAACUGUGGUUCUUGAGUGCUGGAGAGGAAAGCGGAAUUCCUAGUGUAGCGGUGAAAUGGGUAGAUAUUAGGAGGAACACCAGUGGCGAAGGCGGCUUUCUUGACAGUAACUGACGCUGAGGCGCGAAAUCGUGGGGUGCAAGCAGG
RNAcentral lists this ribosomal RNA (253 nucleotides) under uncultured bacterium. RNAcentral describes it as "partial 16S ribosomal RNA". It matches the Rfam family "Bacterial small subunit ribosomal RNA", at positions 524 to 776 of the family's 1533-position model. The record is from RNAcentral.